RNAcentral lists this ribosomal RNA (390 nucleotides) under uncultured bacterium. Its description in RNAcentral is "bacterial SSU rRNA". It matches the Rfam family "Bacterial small subunit ribosomal RNA", at positions 29 to 396 of the family's 1533-position model. The record is from RNAcentral.
AACGAACGCUGGCGGCGUGGAUAAGACAUGCAAGUCGAGCGCUAAUUUAAGGGUAGCAAUAUUCUUAAGUUGGAGCGGCGCAAGGGUGCGUAACACGUGGGUAAUUUGCCGGUGAAGUUGGGGAUAACUUGCUGAAAGGCGAGCUAAUACCGAAUGUGACGUUUGGAAGGCAUCUUCUGAACUUCAAAGUUUGGGGACCGCAAGGCCUGACGCUUCACGAUAAGCCCGCGGCCAUCAGCUAGUUGGUGAGGUAAUGGCUCACCAAGGCUAAGACGGGUAGCUGGUCUGAGAGGACGACCAGCCACACUGGGAACUGAGACACGGUCCAGACACCUACGGGUGGCAGCAGUCGAGAAUUUUCNCAAUGGGCGAAAGCCUGAAGGAGCGACG